GCCUUUGCUGCUUUACGAGAACACUGAAGAACCUUGUGAAGAAAGCUUGAGCUAGAGUGAGGAAAGGUACAGGUGGUGAGGAGCUGCCAUGAUGAGGAUAUUUCCCUGCUUCAGCUACACGAGUGACUCUUGAACCUGGUGAUCUGGAAUCUAGAGUGGAGAAUUACUACCACCAGCGGAGCUCCAGCCAUCAAAAAUAAACACCAACUCUUCCUACGCUCCACCCCUAUGAAUACUGG
This 239-nucleotide long non-coding RNA is filed under the name Coturnix japonica (Japanese quail). Its description in RNAcentral is "lncRNA (ENSCJPG00005011987.1)". Lineage: Eukaryota; Metazoa; Chordata; Aves; Galliformes; Phasianidae. The record is from RNAcentral.